AAGUCGUAACAAGGUUUCCGUAGGUGAACCUGCGGAAGGAUCAUUAACACGUAUCCAACGUUAAAACCCCCCGUGAACCUCGUUAGAAAGUGGCAAUCCCUGGUAAAUCAUCGCCGAACAGUUUUGAUUCAGGGACUUCUGCGUGGGUAGGACAACUGCGCGAGCAAGUGGCCUGGCAUCCCUCUGCUUGUUAGUGUCUGAAAGUGUCACUAGCUCUGUACGGGUGGCGCAAUCACGAUCGCUAGGCCAACACGGCCGGCGACCGGGUCAAUGGGCCCUCGGCCCCCUAAUCACCUUUGCAUGAAAACGGGCCUGCGCUUAAUUGUGCGGCCACCAAACUCGAACAACUGUUAACAAUGGAUAUCUUGGUUCUC
Molecule: unclassified non-coding RNA, 374 nt
Filed under: fungal sp.
Lineage: Eukaryota; Fungi
Description: partial internal transcribed spacer region
Rfam family: Eukaryotic small subunit ribosomal RNA (bases 1-46)
Source: RNAcentral